This 115-nucleotide ribosomal RNA is filed under the name Danio rerio (zebrafish). Lineage: Eukaryota; Metazoa; Chordata; Actinopteri; Cypriniformes; Danionidae. The record is from RNAcentral.
ACCGGCAGCUAGCUCUCUGCAACUCUCACAUGGUCACCCACUGAAGCCAAGCAGGGCUGCGCCUGGUCAGUACCUGGAUGGGAGACCACAUGGGAAAGCUAGGUUACUGCCGGAA